CCUACGGGAGGCAGCAGUGGGGAAUAUUGGGCAAUGGGCGCAAGCCUGACCCAGCAACGCCGCGUGAAGGAAGAAGGCUUUCGGGUUGUAAACUUCUUUUGUCAGGGAAGAGUAGAAGACGGUACCUGACGAAUAAGCCACGGCUAACUACGUGCCAGCAGCCGCGGUAAUACGUAGGUGGCAAGCUUUGUCCGGAUUUACUGGGUGUAAAGGGCGUGUAGCCGGGUUGACAAGUCAGAUGUGAAAUCCUGCGGCUUAACCGCAGCACUGCAUUUGAAACUGUGGAUCUUGAGUACUGGAGAGGCAGACGGAAUUCCUAGUGUAGCGGUGAAAUGCGUAGAUAUUAGGAGGAACACCAGUGGCGAAGGCGGUCUGCUGGACAGCAACUGACGGUGAGGCGCGAAAGCGUGGGGAGCAAACAGGAUUAGAUACCCGGGUAGUC
Molecule: ribosomal RNA, 442 nt
Filed under: uncultured bacterium
Lineage: Bacteria
Description: partial 16S ribosomal RNA
Rfam family: Bacterial small subunit ribosomal RNA
Source: RNAcentral